CCUACGGGAGACAGCAGUGAGGAAUAUUUGUCAAUGGACGAGAGUCUGAACCAGCCACGUAGCGUGAAGGAUGACUGCCCUAUGGGUUGUAAACUUCUUUUAUAAAGGAAUAAAACGAGGCACGUGUGCCUUUUUGCAUGUACUUUAUGAAUAAGGAUCGGCUAACUCCGUGCCAGCAGCCGCGGUAAUACGGAGGAUCCGAGCGUUAUCCGGAUUUAGUGGGUUUAAAGGGAGCGUAGAUGGGUUGUUAAGUCAGUUGUGAAAGUUUGCGGCUCAACCGUAAAAUUGCAAUUGAUACUGGCAGUCUUGAGUACAGUUGAGGUAGGCGGAAUUCGUGGUGUAGCGGUGAAAUGCUUAGAUAUCACGAAGAACCCCGAUUGCGAAGGCAGCUUACUAAACUGUGACUGACAUUGAUGCUCGAAAGUGUGGGUAUCAAACAGGAUUAGAUACCCCUGUAGUC
RNAcentral lists this ribosomal RNA (460 nucleotides) under uncultured bacterium. Its description in RNAcentral is "partial 16S ribosomal RNA". It matches the Rfam family "Bacterial small subunit ribosomal RNA", at positions 338 to 795 of the family's 1533-position model. The record is from RNAcentral.